RNAcentral lists this long non-coding RNA (1018 nucleotides) under Oreochromis niloticus (Nile tilapia). Its description in RNAcentral is "lncRNA (ENSONIG00000043006.1)". Lineage: Eukaryota; Metazoa; Chordata; Actinopteri; Cichliformes; Cichlidae. The record is from RNAcentral.
CUGUUUGUCUUUACUGAUGGAGAUGUGGGGAACACCAAAGAAGUGAUCGAUCUGGUGAAGAAGAAUUCAGGUUCUCACAGGUGAAACCACAAAAACACAACUAUAUCUACACAAUUGCCAGAAUGUCCAACAUGUCCUCUGUGUACUCAAAGAAAACUGUUGUAUUGCAGGUGUUUCUCUUUUGGGAUUGGGGAAGGGGCCAGCUCUGCUCUCAUCAAUGGGAUGGCCAAGGAAGGAGGAGGUCACGCUCAGUUCACCACAGGGACUGACAGGAUGCAACCAAAAGUGAUGCAGUCGCUGCAAUUUGCUCUGCAGCCAGCUGUGGUCGACAUCUCAGUCACAUGGGAUUUACCAAAGGAAGUGUCCGUCACUGUCCUCUCUCCACCAAUCACAACACUUUUCUAGGACUAACAGUCCACAGGUUGGGUGCUCGGACUCUGAUUCACUCUCUGGAGAUGGAAGCAAGAGAUCGCCGAGGUCAGCAAGAUGGAGGAGUGAAGGAGAAGGUGGUGCAGCUCAGUGUCCAAUCAGAAGUGAACAGUUCUUUCACUGCCUUUAUUGCUGUCAACAAAGAAAACAGCGAAGUGAUUCAAGGACCUCUUGUGUGCAGAAAUGUUCCAACAGCCUGAGUUUAUUUCUUUUCUUUUUUUUUCGCCUGUCCCGUUUGGUUCUUUUGCCAUCAGAAUUAUUGUCUAAAGGCAAAGAAAGAUGCCCCACGGAUUUACUUUACCAAAUGGACCAUCCCGGCCUUGCCGUAUUAGUCUAUUUGAUUCACCUUUGCUUUUAUUGUUUAUUUUAUUCUAUUUUCACUUGCUACACAUGGGACAGACAUGACUGGGGUAAAGAAAAGGGAGAAGGAAAGAUGGAAAGAAAAACAGCAGGGAAGAGGAACGGUGAUAAAGGGCAAAAAACAAAAACCAACAAAACAAACAGACAGAAAAUUACAUAUAUGAAUCACCUGGAUCACCUGUUGAGAAAGAAAAAAGAGAAAACAAGCAAAAAAAAGAGAGCAAUAUAA